Molecule: long non-coding RNA, 519 nt
Organism: Stomoxys calcitrans (stable fly)
Lineage: Eukaryota; Metazoa; Arthropoda; Insecta; Diptera; Muscidae
Exons: 2
Source: RefSeq, a predicted model, not a curated record
UACUUAACCUACCAAUAGACAUGGCUAGGUCAUCUUAGAAUUCUACAACGAUCAAGAAUAUAAAGACUUUAAAGGCUUCGAAAUGGAUAUUUCUAUAUCUUACAAACUGAAUGACAAAAUGGAUAUAUCCCAGUUUUCCGAUGGACAAACACAAUGGACCAAGGGUUCGCCAGGUGCGUGUCCUUUAACCUAACCUUCUCUAACCCAUUUUUGAACUCAACGGACAUAUAUCAAUAAGUAUUUCAAUAAGAACAUUUAAAGCCGUUUCGGCAUAUAGCGUGCUUUCCGGGCAAACAAACAUGGCCACAUGGACAAAAUUGUCAUAUCUUAUGAUGGAGGAAAUACCAUGCCAAAUCAAAAAUGAUUUUCUAUUAGCAAAAUCUAAUUAACCCAUUUCGACCGAGAUACAGUGCAAAUUUUUAACCGAAUUGGAUAAGUGAUUUAAACCCAAAUAUGAUCCUAUAGAAUAUGGUCAAUUUCCUAAAUAACUCAUUAAAAAUGAUUAACGCAAAACUGAAA